Molecule: long non-coding RNA, 5003 nt
Organism: Scophthalmus maximus (turbot)
Lineage: Eukaryota; Metazoa; Chordata; Actinopteri; Pleuronectiformes; Scophthalmidae
Source: Ensembl
AUGUUUCAACGUGAAAGAGGAAGUUGUUGUCAUUUACAUAUACAUUGUCCAAUCUGUGUGUGUGUGUGUAUAUAUAUAUAUAUAUAUAUAUAUGUGUGUGUGUGUGUGUGUGUACAUGUAUGUGUGUAUGUAUAUGUAUUUACAGUAUAUCAAUUUUACUUUGACAACAGUCUUUCUUUCCUGUACAUAACUAUACUGCUCAAUGUUUUCUCCCGGUUUCAUGCUGUUUUUAAGGUGGCUACAAAAAUUCAGAACACCGACAAAGCAUCUGAAUCCCAGGAACUGUGUUUGUUACCUUGGGAGAAGAAGGGAAGACUCUGGGGUGACGAUGUUGGAGCAGAUGGCAGUGAUAUCGACGAGGCUGAACCACCGAGCCCAGGCUCCGUCGGGGAAAACACAGAGCCUGUGUGGGGUCACACAAGACCAGAUGAAAGUCCGAUCCCUCCAGUUCUCCGUCACAGAAAGACGGCCGGCAUCACUGAGUCUGUGGUUAGUUUGACACUCGAUCUCCUUCUCUAUGGAGAUUCUACCAUCCUUGGAUAAAUGAUCUCUCUGAUACUGUACACUGUGACUGCUAUUUUCCCCACUCGCAGGACAAACGGGAAACUGUGACUGUGGCAGCCAGAAACGAUGACAACGGUGACUUCUGGUAAGAACAUGGAUACCUGAUAAAUGUAUAUAUCAAUUUAUAUAUAGAUUUAUAGAGUGUCCUCCACUAACCAAAGGUCAAUGGUUCGAAUCCCGGCCCCUUCGGUCCCCAUGAUGAAGUGUCCUUGGGAAAGACACUUACCCCUAAAUGAAUGAUGAUAUCUGAUUUUAUAGAAGCUCUGUGUGAAUGUGACUUGUACUGUAAAGGUAAGACUAGGAAAAUGCUGUAAUCCUCGAGUGUGAAAUGCAAAAUAGAUCAAAAUUUGCCCAAAUUCUGUGAUGUCAGGCUUUCAUUAGAUGAACUCUCCCAAUGGUAAUAGUUUGUUUCAUUACAUCAUUCAUCCAAGAUGGGUAACGUGUUGCAGUCAGGAGCGCAGAAUGAAAACGACACAAAUACAGGAAAACAAGAACAAAACCACAUCAAUAUUUCCUGUACAUACAACACAGAGCACAACAAAAACUCAAAACUAUUUAUAGAAUACUAAAUUACAUGUGCAAAUUAAGCUGAUUAAUUAGACAGGGAAAACAUUUUAAAAAAUGUGGUUGCAUGCUGCACCAGAGCCCCAAUUGGUUCAAAAUAUUACGUUACAUAGAACAUUACAUGCAGAGACAUUAAUAAAUGGAAAAACUAAUGCUUGCAUUUCAAUUUUAUUGUAAAACUAAAUGACUGAUUAAUAAUUUAAAGACAUGAUAAGGAAAUUGAUAACUUGGCAUAUAAAUAUUAAUGGAAUUAUUAUUGCCAUCCCUUCACACAUGGCAGUCACAGUCAGGACUGUUCUCACAUGUGGUUCCCCAAUGGUGGAAUGAGCUACAGUACCAGAGGAGGGUUAUCCCUCUCUAGCUUCAAGAACCUCAAUUCAAUUCAAUUUUAUUUGUGUAGCGCCAACAUACAUCAUGGAGGUCGAGACCUCCCAAUAUUAACGGUUCCCACAAUGAGCAUGAGGAGGAAUAACUCCCUAUUAACUGGAAGAAAUCUCUAACAGAACCAGACUCAGCUGUGGGCGGAACAUCUGCCUUGACUAAUAUUACUUUGAUAUGUGAAAAUGCAUCUGUCCUGUGUGACCUAAUGACUAGAACCUGGUGGCUUCCUUUAUGGUUUUUGUCUCGUGUGUGUGUGUGUGUGUGUGUGUGUGUGUGUGUGUGUGUGUGUGUGUGUGUGUUCGUGUGUGUGUUCGUGUGUGUGUGUUCGUGUAGGUGGAGUGAGAGCGGGGGGCUCCAUCUGCUUCUGCUGUUUUGGCUGCUGCUCUACUGUUUCUGGCUCCUGCCACAGAUGGACCUGAAGACACUGCCCAGCCUGCUGCUGAACCUCAACCACUGAACACGCAGAGCAUUUUGUUUUCAGUGACAGAUAAACUGUCACUCAUCUCAAUUUUUCAUCACACUGUCUGUACUCUAAGUAAAUUGAAGGCAUUUGAAAGAUGUAUAUUUUAACCGCUAAAGCUUUUUGGGGUUUUUGCUUUAUUAUCUUUCCAUGUUGCUUUAAGUGAUCGGCGUGUAAGUAUAAAGACCUACUUCAGCAUAAAAGGACAUCUGACAAAAAGUCCUAACACUUUGAAAAAUAUAGAAGUUAUUUUUUCGUAAUUAAGACCAUUCUCAUAAAUGUGACUUCCGGGCAACCGUGGCUCAGGAGGUAGAAUCGGUUGUCUACUGACCCGAAGGAUGGCGGUUCAAUUCCCAGCUUCUCCUGGCCUGCAUGCUCACGUGGCCUCGACCAGGACACUUGACCCUAAAUUGCCUCCAACUCCUCCGGCAGUGUAUGAAUGUGACAGUAAAAGCACGGUAAAUAGCAACGCUGUGUGAAUAGGUGUGACUUGUGCUUUGAGUGGUCAAUGAGACAAAAGUCAAUUCAAUGUAGCAACUUCACUCCCAAAGUAUUGACUCUUUCCUCAUGAAUUUAUUUGUGCAACUUUUUUCCUCAAAAUGACUUCUUACCAUCUUACUUCAUCUUACUAUCUUAGCUGAGGACUGCACCUCUUCUGGACAGAGACUUCAGAAUCUUUGAUGGACGACCUCUUUGUUUCAUUUCAUUGCACCUCUGUUAGCUGACGAACGUCGCUGCAAGCUUUCUUGAUCUUGGCUUCCAGCCUUCUUCUCCGUGGGGGGAACUCUCUGCAUGGUGCCUUCUCGAUCUCAUAACCAAGUAUCUCCAGCAUCACUGUUGCAGUGGCAAAUCCGAGGUCAUUGGUUUCUGUGACCGUAGUCGAGGAGACAGUUAGUAAGAGCUGUGUUAAUAUCUGUAAUUUUCUUUUCUGAUGGGGCUUUGUCAUAUACAUAAAUAUACACUGCUCCAAAUAAAUUAAGGGGACACUCAAAUCACACAUCGGGCUCGAUGAGAGAGUUAUUCAAGUUGAAAAUCUUUACUGGUGUACAUUGUAUAAUUUGUUGAGAACAAAAGGACAUAACGGUCACAAAAUCACGGUUCAAAUCAAAGUAAAAAAAUUAAAUCACAGGUUGAUCCCAUAUGUUUUUUUAAAAAUAUAUAUGAAGUCACAUCCACCCAUUCACACACAUUCAUACAGCGCUGUUAUUUACCACACUUUUUUCUCUGUCACACUCACACUGCCAGGACAAGUUAGGGUCAAGUGUUUUGUCCAAGGACACGUUUGCAUUCGGACUGGGAUAAGAGUGGAUCAAAUCACCGACCUUCGGGUUAGUGGACAACCGUCUCUACAUCCUGAGUCACAGCCGCCCCAAUAUAUAUAGUCUUAUUAGUCAUAUAUAGUAAUGGAAGCGCUAAUAAUACCACCACAAGCCUAAUAACUCCUAGGGGUCUACUAUAACUCUUGUACUAAAGCAGCAGCCCAUCUUCCUGUUGUGUAAUAGUUGGGGUUGAAUAUGUAUUUGUAAUAUUUCAUGGCUCAAGGUUUAUGAAUAGAUUUUUUUUUAAGUUUUAUGAUGAAGAAAUAUUUUAUGUGAUUGAGCUAUGCUUGAAUUUGUCCAAGUAUGUCAAUAAGAUUGCUUAACAAUUGAAUAUAUUUCUACAUUAUUUUUGGAUAACGUCUGCAAUGAAGGGUUGUGGUGUACUAAAAUGUGAUACUAAAUAUUUUCGAUCAUUGUAGUGAAGGUCAAGGUCAAGUUCAAGUUACUUUAUUAGUACCAAGAGGUAGAUUUUUUUUUGCAGUGGAGUCCUCAUACACACAUAUGGGAAAAAACAAAGAGGCACAUAUCGCACAUCAUUCAACUUAAGACAGUGGAAAUUAAGAAGAAAUGGCAAAAAUUUAAAUUAAAUUUAAAAAGUUCUUUCCGGUCCAGAUAAUACUUAAAUAUUGAUGUGAACUAAAUACUAAUAGUAAAAAGAAAGUAAAACAAAAUGAAUAAGUAAACUUUUGUUUAGGUUAUGAAAACAUACAGAAAGGUUAAGAUAUAAUAAAUAAAUACAUACAUAAAAGCAACAAUAAAUGAACACCUGAACACCUGUGCAAAGUACAGCUAUGACUUAUUCCUCAGUGUAAUGGCUGCAGGGACAAAACAGUUUUUGUCUUUUUGUUCUACACCUAGGGAUUGUAAAGCUACGCCCAGAGGGGAGAAGCUGAAACUCUGUGUGCAAUGGAUGGGAACUGUCGUUUAAAAUGUAACCAGUUAUGCGCUGUAACUGUUUUGUGUACAUCAGUCCUCCAUCACCAAGCCUGAUUCUGCUUUCAUACUAGCAGAACAGAGGGUAACUGUACUGAAUUUGAAUACAACUUGUUCAGCAGAAAAGCCAAUUAUCGCGUUCAGUACAAACUGGGUCAUCCCUCCAACACAGUGCUUCACAAUUAUAUCUCAAGUGUGUGUCCUAAUGUGUUCUUGUACUUUUGUCCUUGUGAUUACUAGAGCUGUGUCCCAGUUCCAUCCUAUUUACUAAUUGCACACAGUAUGGAUUAUACCAUAAUCCUGAUAUGCUGCAGGAAAUCACUAUACUUUUUUGUGUAGUACAAAUGGGAACCUGCCAUCAAUCAAACUGUAACUGAAACUUCACAAAAAGACAACAAAAAUGUUUAAACUAAAGAUUUAAUAUUUAUAUAUGCAUUAUGACCGUUAUUAUAUAAUACUGUUUUACAAUGUAAUGUUGGUUUGACAUGACAAAUAAAAGUCCACCUACUUGCCGUUUCUAGGUAAUUUCUGGUAUUUAUUUCCAAACAAAUGUAAUUAUUACCAAAAAUCAAUGCUCACACAGUGAUCAUAGGGUUUUUGAGCAUCUACCUUCAUUAUCUAACUUUAACCGUGUUUCAGCUCCCAGAACAAUAUUAACAUUACUUUUGCUUUUAGUUGCCACAAGCAGAUGUACUCAGUACUCUGUAUGUAAAAAUGUGAAUACAACAUACAUAAGAAAGUUUUCAAAUAGAUUUAAAAUGCUUCAUGCACAUCAUACAUCC